Molecule: ribosomal RNA, 526 nt
Filed under: uncultured Microgenomates group bacterium
Lineage: Bacteria
Description: bacterial SSU rRNA
Rfam family: Bacterial small subunit ribosomal RNA
Source: RNAcentral
GAGUUUGAUCAUGGCCAGGAUGAACGCUGGCGGCAUGCCUAAUACAUGCAAGUCGUACGCAAUCACUUUAUUCGCUCGCAGCCGUGGAAUUUCCACAAUUGCGAGCGGAAUAUAUGAGUGAUUGAGUGGCGGACGGGUGAGUAACACGUUGGUACCUGCCCCAAAGUGGGGAAUAACUGCCCGAAAGGGUAGCUAAUACCCCAUAGUCUUAUGCUAGUCAUAAGUAAAGCUUCGGCGCUUUGGGAGGGGCCUGCGUCUGAUUAGCUAGUUGGUUGAGGUAAUGGCUCACCAAGGCGACGAUCCAGUAGCUGGAUCGAGAGGUUGACCAGCCACACUGGGACUGAGAUACGGCCCAGACUCCUACGGGAGGCAGCAGUAAGGAAUCUUCCACAAUGGGCGCAAGCCUGAUGGAGCAAUGCCGCGUGCAGGAAGACGCUUUUCGGAGUGUAAACUGCUUUUCUGAAGGAAGAUUAUGACGGUACUUCAGGAAUAAGGAUCGGCUGACUACGUGCCAGCAGCGCGGUAA